RNAcentral lists this ribosomal RNA (254 nucleotides) under uncultured bacterium. RNAcentral's name for it is "partial 16S ribosomal RNA". It matches the Rfam family "Bacterial small subunit ribosomal RNA", at positions 524 to 776 of the family's 1533-position model. The record is from RNAcentral.
GACGAACCGAGCGAACGUUAUUCGGAAUCACUGGGCUUAAAGCGCGUGUAGGCGGGCCGCCACGUCGGCUGCUGAAAUCCCCCGGCUCAACCGGGGAACGGGCACCGAUACGAGCGGCCUGGAGGGGGGUAGGGGGGUCUGGAACUUCCGGUGGAGCGGUGAAAUGCGUUGAGAUCGGAAGGAACGCCCGUGGCGAAAGCGAGGCCCUGGACCCUUUCUGACGCUGAGACGCGAAAGCCAGGGGAGCGAACGGG